GCCCAGAUAGCUCAGUCGGUAGAGCAUCAGACUUUUAAUCUGAGGGUCCAGGGUUCAAGUCCUGUUUUUGGGCG
Molecule: transfer RNA, 74 nt
Filed under: Ameiurus melas (black bullhead)
Lineage: Eukaryota; Metazoa; Chordata; Actinopteri; Siluriformes; Ictaluridae
Description: tRNA-Lys
Rfam family: tRNA
About the family: Transfer RNA (tRNA) molecules are approximately 80 nucleotides in length.
Source: RNAcentral